UGGGGAAUUUUGCGCAAUGGGGGAAACCCUGACGCAGCGACGCCGCGUGGAGGAUGACGGCCUUCGGGUUGUAAACUCCUGUCAGAAGGGACGAAAUCCCGCAAGGGACUGACGGUACCUUCAGAGGAAGCCCCGGCUAACUACGUGCCAGCAGCCGCGGUAAUACGUAGGGGGCAAGCGUUGCUCGGAAUUACUGGGCGUAAAGGGUGAGUAGGCGGUCGAGCAAGUCAAGGAUGAAAUCCCGAGGCUCAACUUCGGAAUUGUUCUUGAAACUGUUCGGCUUGAGGAUAGUUGAGGAGAGUGGAAUUCCCGGUGGAGCGGUGAAAUGCGUAGAUAUCGGGAGGAACACCUGAGGCGAAGGCGGCUCUCUAAGCUACUCCUGACGCUGAAUCACGAAAG
This 399-nucleotide ribosomal RNA is filed under the name uncultured bacterium. Its description in RNAcentral is "bacterial SSU rRNA". It matches the Rfam family "Bacterial small subunit ribosomal RNA", at positions 355 to 759 of the family's 1533-position model. The record is from RNAcentral.